CUUUGGGUGUGCUUUGUGCUCCAGGGGGAAAGAACUAGAACUGCAUCCACGAGUUUGUUAAAGCUGCACUAAAGGAAGCUGUCUCCAUCUUCAUGCUGUGAACUCCUUUCUCCUGUUUUCUCUCAACACUUGGGAAGACGUUGUAUCUGUCUUAGCUGAAGAUCAGGAGAUCAGUAUCAUCUGCAUUUUCCCAAACAUCAAAGGAAGGCAGUUUUUCACAAGGGGGUCAGCUGUACUCAUAUGCCCCGUUUUACGUGUGAUGAUGAUGACGCUGUUGCUGCUAUUGACAAUGAAUUUAUCCCACCAGAAGAUACACAUUUCAGUAAAAAUGAGGCAGAUAUACCAUGGAGACUAGGAAAAGGCUCCUAAAAGACCAUCUUCUCCAGGAAUCUUCCAUACCACAAAUAUGAGACAACAUUU
This 420-nucleotide long non-coding RNA is filed under the name Homo sapiens (human). Its description in RNAcentral is "HSALNT0167968". Lineage: Eukaryota; Metazoa; Chordata; Mammalia; Primates; Hominidae. The record is from RNAcentral.